GCGAAUGUGCCAAUUAUGAGCAGAUUGAUUUAAUUGCCAAAUGAUGAUGAUGUUGCAUACCUUUGGUCUAAUGUUUGUGGCUAGCGCAUCCUGACCCUCUCGCUGCCGGGGGUAAUUGCACUCGCGUCCUAAUUAUCCCUGCCACUCGGCUGGAGCGGCUGGUCUAGCGCGCGCUGGGUGGACAAAUUGCUCGUCAACGCUACCAUUACAUCAAACCACCUGCUCCUAUGCGCCGGCCGAGCGCACUUAGCGCACCCAACGGUGGUUGCGGUAUAAAAUCUGGGUCGGAAAAGAAAUUUCGCCCUCCGGGGUUGAUCGGGAAUCGAUCUGGCGGUGCCUUCGUGCCCUUCGUCCACCCUGGGAUCAAUCACGGGAGAGGGGAGGGUGAUUAUGCAGGUGGCCUCUGUCGCUGCUAAUGGUCCGGACGCCCGGAAUCGUCACUUAGGUGCAAUUAAGUGACCGUGGCUCGUUUUGCUUCCGGUGUUACACACGCUCACGGCACACAACCGUGUCACAUCAUGAGCCAUCAGCAUGUCGUCUCGGGCAGGUAUCGUUGAGUGUGAGAUGAAAUCGAUACGUGCGAUGAUGGGCGGAUGGAUGGGGGCGAUCGUCAACUACCUUUCCACAUGCUCAGCACGGGCUGUAGCGUUUGCUGUUGGGACGGGGAAAAGAUGAGCAUUAUUAUAACAAUAUUACAGUAGUCGGCGCAGUGGUCAAUUUAUCUUUAUUGUUUUCAUUAUUCUUUGCUAGAAUUGAUGAUAAAAUAAGCGCUGGGGCACUUACCUGAUCGUAUCCGUUUUAGAAACUGAAGGUAAUAAAGUUGAUUGUAGGGAGAUAUAUUUUCGGAGAGAAAAUGUCUUCCUUAAAUACUAGGAGAAGAAGAUACUGAUUGCUGGAUAGGAUAUGGGGAGAAGAGAAUUCGAGAUUUUGCUCACUUCUCGACAACUCCUAAGGAAUCUGAUAAAGUUCUAAGGCUCCAUCAACUUUUACUUUGUUUAGUUGAGCAAAAGAUCCUGUUAAAUAGAUCGCUCUUUCUUCUAAAGCAUCACAACAGUACUUUGAUUAACCUUGCCACCAGAUAAUCAUUGAUCAAAUGUUGGUCAAAACUUUUUCUUCUGCCUUGGCACUACAACCUUGAGAGGUCGUACCGACCUGCCAUUUCUGGCUUUCUGUGACUCGUAGCAAAGUAGUCAGCCUUACGUACGGGGAGGCGGUCUGGAUGGGAUUUGAACCCCGGGCCCUGCCGUGUGAAGACCGGCGCCGCUGUCGCCUCGGCCCCUGUGGUCAAAAGAGUCAACCAAUAUAUUUGACGACGUUAUUUACUUGGUACCGUCAGCACAAACUCUGAGUUAAGAAGGUAGACGUCGCGUGAUUCUUCUCUUUUCCUGGCGGAUGUUGAUCCACAUUUUGGAAUAUAUCCUCCCUUCUAAUUAACGAUUGGGAACCUCUAAUGAAGGUUUCCCAACAAGAGUCAUACGAGGCCAACAGUAAAGAAAGUAUGGUGGACAAUUUUACUUUUUUGGUACACUCGGAACAAACGGAACAAAUCUUCAACGGACCGUAUGGCCUAAUUAAGAUGUAACAGUUCGUUUAAAAAAUACCUAACAAAAACAAGAUUUGCAUCGAAAUUCACUGCGGCCACGGCAAAAGCCGGAGACGUUCCUUGAAGCACUGAGUUGAGAUGUCGAAGUCGAAGCAAUCCGAAACAGUGUUGAAGACAGCCGACAUGCGGAACAUAGGGUUAGACCGACCAGCGCUGGAAUGGGGUUGAGCGAGCCGUAGAGUUUCUCUAGACAUAAGUUUUCGGGAUGGUGCGUAGAUAUCGACUCGAUGCAACAAAUGCGAUGAGUCGAUAGAGCCAUUUCGCAAUCCAGCGAUGAAAGAGCACUGUGCAUUACGUCUUCUAACCGAAAGAGGCCUAGAAGACGGCACCGCGCAGCAUACGGAGGAAGAUUAUUGCGAUCCUGCCAAGGAAGUAGGCGCUGGGUAUAUCGCGUGAGCUUACAUUGAAUCGCCUCAAGUCGAGCUAUUGAAGAAGAAGUACUUGGGCUCCAGACUACGCACGAAUAUUCCAGAACCGAACGAACGAAUACAGUUGUAGACAGCUUUGAUGCACAUGGGGUUGCGGAAUUCAUUAGUUGUCCGGAUAACCACGCCAAGUAAUUAAGUUCCUCUGGCUACAACGUCAUCGGUAUGCUGUUUAAAGUUCAAACUAUAGUCAAGCAGAACGCCCAGGUCUUUGGCAUGAUUUUGUUGCUUAACUGCAGUGCCGUCCAUGAAGUACGUACCAGUAACUGGGCUCCUGCAUCGACGAAAAGACACACAGAAGCAUUUCUCUAUGCAGAUAGUCGAUUACGCUUGCACCACGAACAGAAGAUUUCGAUGCAGUCUUGCAGGAAUAUACAAUCACCUGUGUUGUGAAUAGGCGCAAAAAUGUUUGCAUCGUCGGUAAACAGAAGUUGGACAUCGUGUGGUACGUACAUAGCUAUAGCUGGCUGUAGUCCAAUUUUUCAGAUCCAAUAUUUCUUCUCUGCUGGAGAAAAUAAAAACAUCUCAUGAGGGAUAGUUUCCGGCCCUGAGAUUCUGAUGAAUCUGAAUGUAAACAAUCUAUCGUCAAAACGUUCCUAUCAGGAUUUGAAGGAACCUAUAACUGGAAAUCUUGAAUCAGCUGGUCGUGAAGACUUAUAGGUUACAAAAAUCACUCGGUUGGGUAUUGCACCAUUUUUGUAGAACUCUCAAUAGAUGGUCGAGUGAAUGAAAAGAGGCCAUAACUUCAACUCCCAGAAAAUCCUGAAGACUUAAAACUCCACAUACCCCCCUAGUGAAGCUAUAUCUAUUUUUAUUUACCAGAUCUGGUCUAACUCGGAUGUCUUACCAUUAACUUAUCUUCAAGAAUCGUUAUACUGAUCAGAAACAUUUUAAUAUUGUUUAGAUCAUGAUUUAGCAAGUGUGAUUUAUUGUGACAGAGAAAUUUCCUCGAAAAACUCUAUAAAAAUAGUAUUAUUGAACAAUUUACCUGCCUUUGACAUCCAGAACGCUCUACCUGCUCUAGUGUGCGUCCAGGAAAAUAAAGAAAUAAAAGGUCAGCAAUUUAAUUAACCAUCCUGGUCGAUAACCUGUCAACCGAGAUUCUGUUCCGGGUUUCUGAUAAGAUUAAAAGUGACAUGUCAACACGGCGAACAACCUAAACAAAAAACAGAAAACUUCAAUUAAAAAAGAGAAGAUUAAAUUGACAAGUAUAGAUUGCAAUAUAUAUGCUAAUCAUCUCGAUCGAACCAGUCCAGCUCAUGCCCCAUCCUGAUUAAGUUCUUGAUCGAUGUGCACCUGAGAGCAGCAUCACAGCCUCGAUCACGAUGAUAAGCUGUACGAGAUCGUUCCGAAGCCCCAUUUGGGUGUCAAUAAAAUUAUUAAAUUUUUAAUUGAUUCUCAGCUUCCCUUCCUUGAGAGCACACCACACUGCCGAGGGACUUUCAUAUCAUUUUUCAGAACCAGCCCGUGUCUCGCUUACCUCCGAUGGUUUGUCCGUCCGCUGGUUUGAGAACGCUGGUGAAGCUAACCGUAAAUGACUUCAUUUAUUAUGUCGAUAAUUAUACGCUUCAUCAUUUCGGCUUCUCCCAAUGGGUGUGCGUAUGACAGCGACAGGGUGGUUGACUCAAUCUUCCUUAAGGGUGGUCCCGCACACGACGAAGCAAGUGGCGACUGCAAACGUUCAAACCACCACCCCGACACCAUAACCGGCGGCAACGGUCCGGAUCCUGCAGAGUUUCCCUUCGAUUGAAAAUAAUUAUUCACAAAUUAUCUUCGGCGGCAAGCGACGGCACACACAAGAUGGGGUUGACUACUACCACCAUCACUGGCACUACUACUAUUGGCUGCUGGAGCCCACCGUGAUGUCCCUGCUCGAGCAGUCGUCCACCGAGCGGGGGUUAUUUCGCUGCACAAACGCAAAUGACCGCUACCAAUCACUGUCAACGCGAUCUAAACCGGGGCGUCCUGCGGUUUGGCCAUUCCGAUCCGGCAGCUAAGGCCGGCGCGUAAUGGUGGGUCGUUGAGUUUUGUCUGCAUCCCGUCCGGGCGACUUUAUCAAGCGAUCUUCGAACGAUCAAACUCCGCUGGGCCGGUGUGUACGGAACCGUUGCUUUCAUAUCGUUUAUUAUGACUCGGCAGAGUUGACCGUCGUGCUGGGUGUGUUACAAAUUAAACGCCAAUCGGGAACCACGUUCGGUGGAGGGGCACCUGUGAAAUGGGAUAUUUGGGGCGAGAGAGAAAGAUCCCUAAGGAAGGGUGGGGUUUUAUAGUGGUGUUGAUGAAUGGAUUUUCCAUUUCUUUUUUUUUUCAAACGAAUGCUGAAAGCAGUGCGAUUAAACAAGUGCAAAUGACUGUCCGAUUUAGCGACUGUCGUUAGGCGAUUAGAUGAUUUGUUUUGAUUGGGUUAAGACUAAUUGGAUGUUGCUCCAUUAGGGGAUUGAUAUUAAAGGCUGCGUCACUAUCUAACUGAACCACUAAUUGCUAUUUGAGCUUUCUUGCGACGAGGAGGAUAGACUAUAGGCUUUAAUUGCUGUACCAAAUUUUAAAAUGACUCUUCGAACGUAACGCUGCAUAAGGACCGACGUUUCAUUCGUUACUAUUAUGCUUCGAAGAAUAAACUUAAGGAUUUACGAUCAUUUGUGUCCUGAGAAUCCGUGAAUUUACUGAACAAGACGAACGGAGACGAUAGUUCUAACUGCUAUAAAUUAUUUAUUCGAAACACCCCAUCAGGACGUGGAUAUUGUGCUUCUUUUGGAUAACGCUUGGUUUUUGGAGAGUCCAGCAAAUUAGUACCGUCAAUGGAGGUGACUUUCGGCCAAGAAGUGUAACUACAUCUUUCAUAUCCUGCCAAAAGAGCUUAUUGUCGAAGGUGUUGAUCAACAGAUGGUAGGCAACUCUGGCUUUGAGAACUUUAUCAAGAGAGCCAUUUUUAAGCUGAUUCAUACGUAUUCACAUGUACAUUCUGACUUUCGACUGUACAUUCGUUCCUUUUGGGAGGCAGGACCGAGGUUCAAAUCUUAUUCCCCUCAAAGUGACGACCUGACUAUCCAUCUGUGCGGUAUCAACAAGUCUAGUAGCCAGAAAUGUCAGCCAUGACCUAAGAGGUUGUUAAGUCAAGAAAGAAGAAGAAGAAGAAGAUGUACGUUCUGAUUCGGGGCAGGACUGGGGUUCAAAUCCCAUCCAGACCCGCCUCCCCGUGGCCGAGACCUUUCCAGGUUCAAGGAAGAAGAAGACAUACGUAUUCAAAUGAUGAAUACGUACCAACUAGCUGGGGAUGUCCUUCUUCAACAUUACCCUAUAAAGAGUAAUCUGAAUCUUCUGGAACAUUGUCUCUUACUCCACGCGCAGAUGUAGCAUUGGUUGGCGAAACGCCGCUGUAAAAGUUGCCUGUCAAAAGAUCGAGCAGGUUUAAAUUAUUGACAGCAGCGAUAGAGAUCCUGCUUAGAUUAUAGGAAAAACAAGUUUAGAAGUUAAGAAUCUAUAAGAACUAGAUAAUAAUAUAGAGACAUGAUGAGGAAUAUUGAAGAUAUUGCUUUUAGCAGUAGUUAUAGCCACAAUUGCCGAUAGGCUGCUUAUCUUAUUAGGAUGAAAAUUAUAAUUAUAGGAUUAUUAUUAGGAUGAUCCGUAAAGACCAGCUACAUGAACAGAGUAGUGAAACGAUUAUACCUGUUAUGUGAUUGUUCAUCAAAUUCGAAUUUAAAUCCACGUCACCCUCGUAGAAUGGAAUAGAGAAAGUCCCACUAAUAAAGGCCUGCAUGAUAGCCAGAUGAUGGUGCAUGAUAAU
This is a long non-coding RNA of Anopheles stephensi (Asian malaria mosquito), 5812 nucleotides long. RefSeq lists it as uncharacterized. The transcript is spliced from 2 exons. Lineage: Eukaryota; Metazoa; Arthropoda; Insecta; Diptera; Culicidae. The record is from RefSeq and is a predicted model, not a curated record.